RNAcentral lists this unclassified non-coding RNA (239 nucleotides) under uncultured fungus. RNAcentral's name for it is "sequence contains ITS1". The record is from RNAcentral. Lineage: Eukaryota; Fungi.
GUAUUGAUUGCGGGUUAGCGCAUAAAUGAGGUCAUUCUACACUUUUUAAAAGGGGUGUUUGUGUGAAAACGCGAGCCUCCUCCGAGAUGAUCCCAAAGGGUGCCCACGCGGUGAUGCACAAAAGGGGUGAGAUGGAUUGUGUGAGAGUGCUCGGGCGUGCACAACCUUUAAAAGGUCAGCGACAGCCCUUGCACCUCGGUUAUACAAUAAUGAUCCUUCCGCAGGUUCACCUACGGAAA